UACGUAGGUCCCGAGCGUUGUCCGGAUUUAUUGGGCGUAAAGCGAGCGCAGGUGGUUUAUUAAGUCUGGUGUAAAAGGCAGUGGCUCAACCAUUGUAUGCAUUGGAAACUGGUAGACUUGAGUGCAGGAGAGGAGAGUGGAAUUCCAUGUGUAGCGGUGAAAUGCGUAGAUAUAUGGAGGAACACCGGUGGCGAAAGCGGCUCUCUGGCCUGCAACUGACACUGAGGCUCGAAAGUGUGGGUAUCAAACAGG
RNAcentral lists this ribosomal RNA (252 nucleotides) under uncultured bacterium. RNAcentral describes it as "partial 16S ribosomal RNA". It matches the Rfam family "Bacterial small subunit ribosomal RNA", at positions 524 to 776 of the family's 1533-position model. The record is from RNAcentral.